Long non-coding RNA from Felis catus (domestic cat), 603 nucleotides. RefSeq lists it as uncharacterized. The record is from RefSeq and is a predicted model, not a curated record. The transcript is spliced from 3 exons. Lineage: Eukaryota; Metazoa; Chordata; Mammalia; Carnivora; Felidae.
GUCCAUUUUUUAAUUGGCUUGUCUGUUUUUUGGGUGUUGAGUUGUAUAAGUUCUUUAUAUAUUUUGGAUACUAGCCAAAAAGAUGCCAUAUAUAUAUAUAUUUUUUUUUAACAGAGGCCAAGUCAGUGAACCAAUCCCAGUUCUUCACGGUAGAGGGUUCUGUCCUUCCGCAUUUUCCAUCUGUGGACAGAUUUGCUCAGAAGACUGUGGAAGCUAUAUUAAUUCCUCAGAAUAAUGGCUUUCUGCACCAUCUAUGAGGUUUACGGAUGGACCAGCCCGAGCCUUGACUCUGGACAAGCCACCCAUCUCCGGGGCUGGAGUGUCAGCCUCUGUUGACCACGGAUUCUAACCUGUCUCCAAGGUUCUUCUGAAGCUCCCAAAGAGGGAAGGCACCCGGUUCUCUCAAGGGCAAACCAGUACAGAAGCAGAAAGAAGAGAUGUGGAGAAUGAAUGAGAACACAAGUUGGACUGCAAUGAACAGUAAAACUGAAGUGGAAAGGUAAUUUACGUGAACCACAUUUAUUUUAUUUUUUUAAUAUAAUUUAUUGUCAAAUUGGCUUAUAUACAACACCCAGUGCUCAUGCCAACAAAUGCCCUCCUCAA